RNAcentral lists this ribosomal RNA (503 nucleotides) under uncultured bacterium. RNAcentral describes it as "partial 16S ribosomal RNA". It matches the Rfam family "Bacterial small subunit ribosomal RNA", at positions 30 to 523 of the family's 1533-position model. The record is from RNAcentral.
AUUGAACGCUGGCGGCAGGCUUAACACAUGCAAGUCGAGCGGGGUGAUGGUGCUUGCACUAUCACUUAGCGGCGGACGGGUGAGUACUGCUUAGGAAUCUGCCUAUUAGUGGGGGACAAAAUCGCGAAAGGGAUGCUAAUACCGCAUACGUCAUACGGGAGAAAGCAGGGGAUCACUAGUGACCUUGCGCUAAUAGAUGAGCCUAAGUGGGAUUAGCGAGUUGGUGGGGUAAAGGCCUACCAAGGGGACGAUCGGUAGCGGGUCUGAGAGGAUGAACCGCCACACUGGGACUGAGACACGGCCCAGACUCCUACGGGAGGCAGCAGUGGGGAAUAUUGGACAAUGGGGGGAACCCUGAUCCAGCCAUGCCGCGUGUGUGAAGAAGGCCUUAUGGUUGUAAAGCACUUUAAGCGAGGAGGAGGCUCUUUUGGUUAAUACCCAAGAUGAGUGGACGUUACUCGCAGAAUAAGCACCGGCUAACUCUGUGCCAGCAGCCGCCGUAA